This 276-nucleotide signal recognition particle RNA is filed under the name Marmota monax (woodchuck). It matches the Rfam family "Metazoan signal recognition particle RNA". From Rfam's summary of the family: The signal recognition particle (SRP) is a universally conserved ribonucleoprotein. It is involved in the co-translational targeting of proteins to membranes. The eukaryotic SRP consists of a 300-nucleotide 7S RNA and six proteins: SRPs 72, 68, 54, 19, 14, and 9. The record is from RNAcentral. Lineage: Eukaryota; Metazoa; Chordata; Mammalia; Rodentia; Sciuridae.
GCGCGCGCCUGUAGUCCCAGCUACUCGGGAGGCUGAGGCAGGAGGAUCGCUUGAGCCCAGGAGUUCUGGGCUGUAGUGUGCUAUGCCGAUCGGGUGUCCGCACUAAGUUCGGCAUCAAUAUGGUGACCUCCCGGGAGCGGGGGGCCACCAGGUUGCCUAAGGAGGGGUGAACCGGCCCAGGUCGGAAACGGAGCAGGUCAAAACUCCCGUGCUGAUCAGUAGUGGGAUCGCGCCUGUGAAUAGCUACUGCGCUCCAGCCUGGGCAACAUAGCGAGA